Molecule: long non-coding RNA, 860 nt
Organism: Lycium ferocissimum
Lineage: Eukaryota; Viridiplantae; Streptophyta; Magnoliopsida; Solanales; Solanaceae
Exons: 4
Source: RefSeq, a predicted model, not a curated record
UGGCAUUCUAUAUAUGGACCUAUGUCUACAACAUCCUCCAACCACAUGGGAUCAAACAUAAUACCACAAAGGGCAGCCUAGAAUCUGAAGCUCAACUUGCAGUGCCUCUCAUUGUGUUUGAAGAUAUGGAGAAGAUUUCUCUUGUAAUUUCCUCUUUCUUUUUGUUUUUAUUGUUUUCAAUGUUCAACAGGAACCUUUUGUUAGAAAAAUGAAACAACAUAUCAAUAUCUGGGUAGAAAGGAUCAAUUUGAAAAUGCUAUUUGCAUCUUCAACUAUUGCGACGAUUUUUGGAAUCUUGAUUUGUGUAGUGUCAUUGUUAAGAAAGCUGAUGAUCGGAAAUCAAGCUCCAUUGCACGUAAUUCAUAGCUCUGCAUCUCUGCUAGCAGAGGCUACAAUACCAGCUGUGAUAUUGAUAGUUAGAGCAAAUCUUCUUAGAGGUGCUAUCCUUAAAAUCGAUGUAUAUGUUUCCUUUCAACUUACAGAUCUUGGCCACUAAAUUUCUUCUUCAAAUUCUUUUUAAUUUUCUUUUUUAGAUUUUCAGAUUAAUUUUCUGGUACUAAUUUAAAUUGGAAGUCUUAAAAAAUCAGAAAUUGGGAUGUGGGUUGUAAUAGGAGUUCAGGUAGUGAGGUAUGUUGCCUUGCCAUUAUGUGGCAUUGUUGUUGUGAAAGCUGCACGUUAUUUUGGGUUGGUGGGAUCAGAUCCCUUGUACCACUUUGUUCUUCUAUUGCAAUAUGCACUCCCUUCUGCAAUGACUAUAGGUACAAUUACACAGGUGUUUGGAGUUGGGGAAAGUGAAUGCUCACUGAUCAGGCUAUGGAAUUAUUUAGUGGCAUCAAUUGCUCUUACAAUCUGGACGAGUU